GGGCGUGUGGUCUAGUGGUAUGAUUCUCGCUUUGGGAAGCUUCUCAGCCUGUGCUGAGAAACAAUUCAAGUAUGCGAGAGGCCCUGGGUUCAAUUCCCAGCUCGCCCC
RNAcentral lists this transfer RNA (108 nucleotides) under Tetrapisispora phaffii CBS 4417. It matches the Rfam family "tRNA". From Rfam's summary of the family: Transfer RNA (tRNA) molecules are approximately 80 nucleotides in length. Their secondary structure includes four short double-helical elements and three loops (D, anti-codon, and T loops). Lineage: Eukaryota; Fungi; Ascomycota; Saccharomycetes; Saccharomycetales; Saccharomycetaceae. The record is from Rfam by way of RNAcentral.